GAGUUUGAUCAUGGCUCAGGACGAACGCUGGCGGCGGGUUUAACACAUGCAAGUCGAGGGACGAAGCCACUCUUCGGAGUGGUGGAAACCGGCGAACGGGUGAGUAACACGUGACCAACCUGCCCUGUACACCGGGAUAACAACGGGAAACCGUUGCUAAUACCGGAUGCUCCGCGAGGACCGCAUGGUCCACGCGGGAAAGCUCAGGCGGUACAGGAGGGGGUCGCGGCCUAUCAGGUAGUUGGUGAGGUAACGGCUCACCAAGCCGACGACGGGUAGCUGGAGUGAGAGCUCGAUCAGCCACACUGGGACUGAGACACGGCCCAGACUCCUACGGGAGGCAGCAGUGGAGAAUCUUGCACAAUGGGCGAAAGCCUGAUGCAGCCACGCCGCGUGGGGGAAGAAGGCCUUCGGGUUGUAAACCCCUUUCAGCAGGGAAGAAGCGAGAGUGACGGUACCUGCAGAAGAAGCCCCGGCCAACUACGUGCCAGCAGCCGCGGUAAUACAAGGG
This 511-nucleotide ribosomal RNA is filed under the name uncultured bacterium. RNAcentral describes it as "bacterial SSU rRNA". It matches the Rfam family "Bacterial small subunit ribosomal RNA", at positions 9 to 531 of the family's 1533-position model. The record is from RNAcentral.